Molecule: non-coding RNA, 93 nt
Organism: Tricladium varicosporioides
Lineage: Eukaryota; Fungi; Ascomycota; Leotiomycetes; Helotiales; Tricladiaceae
Source: the annotation of a GenBank genome assembly
GCUUCCGUGGUCCAAUGGUUAGGAUUCCACCCUUCCAAUCACCCAGCCGUGAAAUGUUAGGUGGAGGUUCGUGUUCGAUUCACGGCGGUUGCA